Molecule: long non-coding RNA, 1542 nt
Organism: Gallus gallus (chicken)
Lineage: Eukaryota; Metazoa; Chordata; Aves; Galliformes; Phasianidae
Source: Ensembl
GCUCAGGUGCAUGCAGUGUAUCUGAAUGACUGGAAGGACUGGAGCCAGGAUCCACCCCUUCUCAGAUCUCAUUUAAGGGCUGGCAGCCCAGGUAGGUGUAUUUUGCUGGAGAUCUUUGUGUGCCUGAGGCCUUCUGAAGAGUGGGUAAAGAGGGCGUUCUGCAUCACAGUCUUGUGCUGUUGCUUCGUAAGAGAGCCAGGAGUAAUACCCUAGCACAGCACAAAAUGGAAGUGGGAAAGGUGUUUGGAGCGUCUGAGGCUAGAACAAACUGAUGCUGAUAGACUCACUGAGAACUCCACCAGGAAAAAAUAAAAAGAAAAGUUGUAGAUUAAUAAAAAUUUCUUCAGAAGGACGGGAUAAGUUGAAGAUGGGACUAACAUACACAGAUGUUUGAAUGGACUUUAUUCUUCAUUAAAAUACAACUGCUGGUGGGAUUAAGGAAGGAGUAUGUCACCACUGAGAUUAUGAAGCAGUGGGUGUCUUCAAGAAGAUGAAUACACAAGAAUAGACUGUGUUUUUAAGACCUGGGAGGCAGUGAGGAGCACCCUUUGUGGCCCCAGGCAGUCUCCUGUGUGUGAAGGCAGCCACCCCAGCUCUCAGCACUUUCCCCCUGGGGUCUGGCUGUAGGGCUGAGGCCUGAUGUGUGACCUACACCAUUGAGCUGACCUUGUAUUGCUGGGGCCAUGGAGGAGAGAAGACCUCAAAUAUCCCUGGGAAGGCCACCACAGUACUUGGUUUUUGGGAGUCAUUGUGGGCCAGAACCUGCCUCAGGACCUGGUCUGAGUGACUACUGCUGCCAAACCAGACUCAUCUAUGGCCCUGGGUCCCUGGCCCUGGAAACAUACAGGCAUUGGAUUUUUAAGUGGCCACACCCAGUAUAUUGUAACUGUGACUCAGCCUUGCAUUGGUCCAAUGUUGUGAAGUUAUGGGCCUAAUUUUGAAAAGGUUUUAUUUGUCAGCUCAUUUCCAGCAGACUCAGGAUGGAAAUGAGCCUUUGCAGACAACUAAGAAACAGGAAAUUCAGUAUGCAGAACUCUUCUCCAAACAUGAUGAACUCAACCAUUUUCCUCUCUCAGUAGCAAUGUCAUAAAGAUUUCAUGUUUCUAGAAGUAUCUUUCUUAGAAUUCAUCUAAAUCACACGUGUAUACAAGACGUGCUGCAAAAAGAUGAAUGAUGUUCGUAUGAAAUAUUUAAACAUCAACAAAAAUUUCAAUUAAUCACCUUUCACCACAGUCCAUACUAGCUAUCCUGAUUCCAUUCUUUAAAUUUUCACAAAAGCUAACAUGGAAUUCAGGAAUGGUACUUUCAAAGUGUGCUUUCAAUUUACUUCAGUGGUUAAAAUUAUACUUACUUCUGAUGUUAUGAUUUAUAAAAUUUGUGUCACAAAAGAGUAUAUAUAGAUAUUAUAGAUAUAUAAAUAGUACACCCUUAUUUCUUAAGAAUAAUGUGUGGAAAUAGAAAUGAAAUAAAACAAGAUGUAGCUCAGUAAAAUAAUAGAGAUAUGUAUUAUUUUAAAUAGUUAACAUCUUCAUCCUGUAUGAG